This is an RNA transcript of Passer montanus (Eurasian tree sparrow), 6953 nucleotides long. It is a transcript of the gene named thyrotropin releasing hormone, with no coding region annotated. NCBI's taxonomy places the organism in Eukaryota, Metazoa, Chordata, Aves, Passeriformes, Passeridae. The record is from RefSeq and is a predicted model, not a curated record. The transcript has 3 exons.
GCNNGGGCGGGCCCUGCGGUAGGGCACGCCCUCCCCGCGGCGCCUGCGCGCUGAGGCCCCGCCCCAGCACGGCUGCCGCGGUCACGUGCGAGCGGGGCGGGGUCACGUGCGCUCCCGCUCGCGCUGGCCCGGCCCGGCCCGGCCUGGCCCGGUCCCUGUCCCGGUCCCUGUCCCUGUCCCGGUCUCGCUCCGGCAGGCUCGCAAUCCAGACCCAGUUCUUCUCUCCUCACCUCCUCCGUCUCCCGCAGCCCCUCGCCGCUGGGCCGGCCCCUCGCGUGGCUCCUGGCCUUGAGAGCCCGGCCCCGCUCGGGUGUGAGCCCGCUCAGUGUCCAGGCACAGGGCACCCGAUGCUCAGAGGGCACCCGUCCAGCCCAGCAUCAUGCUCAACAUCAGCAAGGAGCACCAGGGCCCCACAGCUGAUCUGCACGACCUCUCUGCACACAGCAGCGCGUGUCCGUGUUGUGUGCCUGGAUUGCCCUGGGGUCCCGGUGCUGUGCGGAGCGCUGCAGUGAAACCCUGGACAGCUCUUCCCGCUGGUGAGGCACACUGCUGCACGGCGUGAGCGUAAACUGACCCUGUGCAACCUCCUGCUUGUCCCCGGCACUGGCGGCACCUCGCAGCACCGGGCUCGCUCACGUCAGCGGCCGUGCACCCCACGGGCACCCACACCUCGCAGGGCCUGACCCCGGGGAGUGCCCAGCAGCCAGACCCCAGGGCAGGCAUGUCACAGCGUGUCGGCUGCGCUCGCGUAGGCUGAGCACAGGGCCCGAGGGACACGGGGUACAGAGGGACACGGGGCACUCAGGGACAUGGGGCACUCGGGGGACACGCCGGGCGCAGCCCCGCACCCCGCGGUGGCAGGUCCGUCCGGCAGGGGGCAGCAGCGCCCCAGCCAGGUGAGCGGAGCUGGGACCGAGCUGGGACCGGGCUGGGACCGGGCUGGGACCGAACUGGGAACGGGCUGGGAUUGAGCUGGGACCGAACUGGGAACGGGCUGGGAUUGAGCUGGGACCGGGCUGGGACCGCGCUGGGAUCGGGCUGAGACUGAGCUGGGACCGGGCUGGGACUGAGCUGGGAACGGGCUGGGACCGAACUGGGAACGGGCUGGGACCGAGCUGGGACCAAAGUGCGACUGAGCGGCACCGGCAGUAGGUGUUAUGGACGCACACUCGGGCAGACCGCACACACCGAUAGCUCCAGGGACAGGGCACACUCACCUUAGGGCUGAAACACCCGUUUCAUAUCCAUUGUCCGGGCUAGACUUUCAUACUGGCCCUUUGCUGUUUACUGACCCAUAACCUGCACUUCAACUCAACACGAGUUUUAUUUUCUGUAGAAAACCUUAAAACCCAAACUUUGUUGAUCUCUGAGAGUCAAGACAGAAAUGGUUUAAUCCUUCCAUUGUACAAAAAGGGAAGAAUGCCUGAACUGAGGAAGUACGGAACUACUGAAACCUUUGGUAGCAGGUCACUGUUGGACACAUGGGGAAUGCACACAGCACUCCUUAAUCAUAGCAGAGGCUUCAGGAUCCUAUGUGGGCUUGGAUCUGCAAGUGAAAUAAAUCAUAGCAUGUGUCUCAGACUGGAUAGCUAAGUGGUGUCCCUCUGCCAUGGAAAGGAGUGGGCAGGCGCUGCUCCUGCUGCCGUUCCUAGGAGUUCAUCCUGCCCUCUAAUGCAGUACUCGGCUAGAUUGUCACUACUGACAAUUAACCAAAUGUUACCACACCACUCAUUAGUCUGAAUCCUGUAAAAGUACCCAACAGCACUACAUCACUCAUCACUGUGUUCACCCUUGGAAGGACCACAAGAGCUUCACUGCCUGUUGGCACCUCCCGUCAGCAGCUGCUCUUGCCAUCUACAUGUCUGUCCUGCCUCACACUUCAUGUCCGUAGAGAGGUUAUACAAGGAGCUAACCUUGUAACACUGAAUUACAAAGUUGGGAGGGCGGUAGUAAAAGUGGGGUUUUAUUCAAACCAAUGUAGUGCUAAGAUGGAUUUGGGAAACAUAGAUUCAGGUCAUUUAGAAAUCAAUAAUCAAACCUAUUAUAAAUUCACAAAUACAUUUCUGCAUUUUUUCCUUACAAAGUUUUUUGCAAACUGCAGUUGAAAUACCUAAGAACUUUCUAUCCACUAAAAUGCUGGGUUACAAAUGAAAUGUGGAAACUGCAGGCCUUUGAGUUAUUCAGGCCAAAUGAGCUGGUUCAGGGAACAGACUGUGAAGGACAGACUUGUACAAAGCAUAUUCUCUCCAUUUUCAACAGACUUCUGGGAUAGACUCAGCUUUGGCGGUACUGUGUGACCUGAAUUUCACAGUCUGCCUAGAAGCGCAAAUCUGGCUGGGAAAAAAAGAAAUGCAAGAAUGCAGGAGGUCCUUGUUUUCCACUUCUUCUCUGUCUUCCAUUUUAACUGUAUAGGAGAGAGAACAAGAGAGUAAGAGUGUCUGAAGAACUGCAUUAUGUACUGUGUGCCCUGAAGUACAGAAUAUCAGGGACCUGAGGAAUAGCCCGAGGUGAACAACUGAUGCUGGGCUUUAUGAUGAAUUCAGGUGUGUAAGUGGGAUAAAACCAUUGAAGUUGGUGGGAGGCAUCAGCACUCAAAAGUUUUCAUGAGGAUACAGGUAUACUAGAUCUUACAGGAACUUGUAGCACAUAUUGUUGUUUUCUCUAUAACUACAUCUGAACAUGAUGGGAUUUGUGUCACCAAAGUAAUAUAGAAAGAAGAAACUACAUCCCUGAGAAACUUAAGCCCCACAGAAAGCCCACACCCUUGUUUGACAAUUUUUGAAUUACCAAGGCUUCUGUGUAACAAACAUGCAACCAGCCUUGUCUAUCAGAAAGAUUCAGAAAUUAUUUAAGAUUAGCACAUCUAACUCUGGGUAAGCAGGCGACACAGCACUAUUCUCUUUCGCAACUCCAUUUUUAAAAUUGUCUGCUCGGAUUUCUUCCCAUCCCUAAGCUGCAUGUUUUACAAUGGGAGGAGAGAAAAGGUAAAAAAAGGGCACAGCAAGGGCUGACUACUCAAUAGAGAGCCAGGAGCCAAACACCAUAGCACAGCUGUCAAGGCAGUGGCCUCCAAAGGCCUCCCCCUCCUCCUGAGCAGGAUCAACAGGAGAGGCCCAGAGGCUGUGGCCAGGUCUACCAAGCCUAGACCACCUGUCUUGACGCCAUGGACCUGCCUGACAAUGACUUGACCAUGUAACCCUGGUUACUGUCACUAGACCUGAUCCUGACCCAUGGACUGAUGUCGUGGCUGGACCUUGUCACCACAAACUGCCCCGAUGCUCUGGUUGGCUCUGGCUGCCAUCGCCAGUGCUGCCCUGUGCCCUGCACACAGGUGUGCCCUCAGUGCCACACUGGGAGGCCCCUGCCCCACCUGCCUUGUGGCCACUCACCUCCUGGUUCUCCAUCCCUCAGUGAGUCCCUGGACUCACUGCCCUCUGGCAGGUUUACUCUGAGCCUCUGGAUGAGAAGGGCAACUUGGAUAUUUUUCUGUAUUUCUGCCCAAAGGCAGGCUCAUGACAAUCAUCCUGUGGGCAUUAGGUCUGACUAAUCUGACAUGGAGGGGGAAAUCUCCCAGCGUCAGUGUGAGUCAAAGUGUGGAGUUCACAUGGACAUUGAUUAUAAACACUCAUCCGAGGCCUCAUCCGCGUGCUCCUGGCUGAGUCCUACAUGAGUAGGAAGGGACUGACAGCAUUCUCACCACUGCAGCAGGUUAUUGCACUGGGAUCUGGAAGAACAGUAGGUGACAGAGAGGUCCUGAGGAAUGACAGGAAAACACUGCAGGAUGCCAUCAAAGACAUUAUUGAUCCGCUCACAGGAAUGAAAUGUCUCAGAAUGAUUAUGAUUAACUGCAGGGUUUACUUAAGAACGAAGGAUCAAUACUGAGCUUGGGAAGAAUGAUUUGGGGGCAUAAUGAGUUUCUCUCUUUGUGACAUUGAAUGAUAAACUCCCAGUUCUCAUACACUGGGAGAGAAAAAACAUGUUUUCCUGUAAGUAAAAACUGCCAGGUUUGCCAUCUUUCUGAGGAUGCAUAUAGAAAAUGAAGGCUGUAGGGGAGACAAAAUGAAUUCAAGCAGUGACCAGUGCACUCAGCUGCAUUUCUCAGACUCAGUGCUUUCAGGCUUCAUAAGGGAAAUACAAAGCCCAUGUAUACUCCCCCAGCUCAAUUUACUGGUAAGAACCUUUGUGAGAGCAAGAUGGGAGGUUCUUACAGGAAGAAGGCCAGCAUACAAGAGAGAACUUCAGGAGAAAUGCUGGAAGGCAAGACAGCAAUAAUGACGAGGUUGAAUAUUUUAAAGACUAAACUCCAAAGGGCCUGAAGACCACAGCAGUAAUCCAGCUAGAAAGUGCUGAAUGAUGGUAGUGAGCUACCUUGAUAUGGGUCUGCAUUUGAAAAAACUAUUUCUUUUGUUGCAGGUUACAACUAUUCAAACAGUAACUAGAGAGACAAUUUGUAAGAUCAAUCAGAAUUCAACCCUUCCCUUACUCAUCAGCUUGUACUUUUUGUCAUGAACACUCACAGCAGACACAAAAAUGUUUUAAGUGUUUUAGUCAGGGAUACAUGAUUUCACCAGCUUUCUUCAAGCCCUUCCACUUCCACAAAAAAAAACAAAACCAAAACCAAAACCCCAAACAAAAAAAACCCCCCAAAGCAAACUAACCAACCAAACAAAAAAAACCCAAAGCAAACCAACCAACCAAAUAACAAAACCAGCAAAACAAAACAACAACAACAAAGAAAAAAAACAAACAAAAAAACCCAAACAAACAAAAAAAACACCCUAACAACAGCAACGAUGAUGACAAAAUAUGUAAUGCAGAUCUGCUUAUUGCUUUGUUUUACAAAAAUCACAACAAUUUGUCAUGCUCCAUACAAGAAGCUUUUCCUCUCACGGACUCAGUCAGAUGUUAAAAAUGUAACAUAAAAGAUUUUUCUGUUCUCAUAAAUGUGACUUGCCAACAAAGAAGUUUGUUCUGCAUGAGGUACUACUGGAUCGAUAAGUAAAAGGCUGGGAGGAAAUGUAACCUACCAAAGAAUAGACACAUUUUGCUGGAACGAUAUGUUGUCAUUAGGUAUAAUUGGGCAAGUGGCAGUGUGAUCUCCAAAGCCUCAGCUGAUCAUAUUCCCCUGAGUGCAUUAAUAAUUUUGGGGAAAAGUGCAUUAACUAUGCCUUGCUUUAUUGUACUGCCAAAGUGGAGAGCAGGUGUUAGAAAACAAGUUUGUAAUCUUUCCUUCCUUUGCAAAUGAAUUCUUAUUCACUUUGGCUCUUAUUUCCAUACAAAAUCUAACUUUUUGAUAAUUAUGAGAGCAACUUGGCAGCUCCACUUUCAUGGCUCAGGUAAGUAGCAGAUUCAAGAGGCUUUUAAUUCCUAAUAAUACUAAUACAUAUAGCUUAUUCAGGUCUUUCUAAAAAGGCAGAUAACAUCACGUCCACCCUUGACAAAAUAAGCAAAGAUCAACAACACAAUUAUUGCCAUUCUAGGAUUACUUGCACUGAGAAGGUUUUAUUACAUCAGGAUGAAAGCAGAGUAUCAUUUCAGUCUUUGUCAUGGGAAUGUCUAGCUCUGUGCCAAAUUUUGACCCUUCUUGAUACAUCUGAUUAGUAUGCUGAAUUAAAUCAACUAGGGCUGAGAAGUCCCUACAAUUUAUGCAAACAUAAAUUUGGAGCAGUGUGGAUAGGAAGAAAGAGGAAUGAGAGUGUCUUUUCAGUGAUUGUGUGCAAUUAGAUCUGAUUGUGGUUUACAGUGACACAGAUGACAGGUCUAACACUAGCUGCCCCAAUUCUACUCUCAGUACUCCAGCUGGGUGACUGUGCUCCAACUCUUGCACCACCAAUUUCAUCUAAAACUAGUGAGUUCUUUGAAUGAAGAAAAAUAUCAGAAAAUUAUCACCAACUGCUGCUUAAUUUCAGGGUCACCAACUGAGUGUUUUAGUUUUCUCCCCAGUCUUUCUGCCCCCCUAAAGGCAGUUCUUCCCUGUGACAGAUGCCCAAAGAAAAAAGGCUCCCCUGCUGAAGAUCCCUGGUGGAAGCAUACAUGUCACCUGGCCUAACGACUCAGACUUCUUUCUUUGCUCUUCAGUGGCUAAAUUAGGAAGUCAGAGUGUUCUUGUUUCCAAGUCUCAUAUGAGAUGUGAGACUUAAUUUAAAGACAUCUUGUUCAGUCAGAAGCAUCUAAAUUGUCAUUGAUUGUUUUUCCAUUGUUGGAUAUGUAAGUCUCUUUAAAAACAAACUGUUCGUUAUUUGUGCUCUGUUCCCAUUGCUAGACAGGCUACAGGGUUUGUGUUAAUAUUACUGGGAUAAGACAAAUACAAGUUUGAACAAGUCAAGCCUAAACUCUUACACUCCUGAGUACCAGGAGAAUUGCCACUUGAGACAGUUGUUCAGGCACAGUCGCGUUAAUUAGAAACAUCUGCAAGGAUCCUGGAGAAAAUCACAUCUGGUUGGAAAAUUUCCACCAUCAUUUGGAUGCUGAAAAUUCAAUAACACAAGGACAAUAUUACUUUAUACCAGUUAAAGAUAAUAGCAUGGCUAUAGCUCCCCUUUGGUUCACUGAGCUCUGAACAGCACAGCAAGCACCUGCAGGUACAACUCUCUAAGCAGUGUUAGGGAAAUGUCCCUGUCUGACCAUCCAGGAGCCACUCUGGCAUUCACAUUUGCACCACCUGAGCUGGGACUGAGGCCCCUUUGCAGUUUCUACUCCCUCUCAAAGACCAGUUUUCCUUACCUGGCUCAGACAUGAAUAUAUUUUCUGAAGUAGAUAAACAUUAAAUAAGCAAAGAUCUUUUAGCAACCUCCAGCAAUAUCAAGUAAGAUGACACAAUAUCAUUUACUUAUUUAACUUAAUCUUUUCACUUGGGUUCCUAGGAGAUAACACUUAAAUUCUGCUACAGUCACAAACUUACUCUACAUCUAUACAAUUUAAAGGGUUGAAGUUGAUUCACAUGCUAUAGUAGG